Molecule: ribosomal RNA, 814 nt
Filed under: uncultured bacterium
Lineage: Bacteria
Description: bacterial SSU rRNA
Rfam family: Bacterial small subunit ribosomal RNA
Source: RNAcentral
ACACAUGCAAGUCGAACGAGCGAGAGAGAGCUUGCUUUCUCGAGCGAGUGGCGAACGGGUGAGUAACGCGUGAGGAACCUGCCUCAAAGAGGGGGACAACAGUUGGAAACGACUGCUAAUACCGCAUAAGCCCACGGGUCGGCAUCGACCAGAGGGAAAAGGAGCAAUCCGCUUUGAGAUGGCCUCGCGUCCGAUUAGCUAGUUGGUGAGGUAACGGCCCACCAAGGCGACGAUCGGUAGCCGGACUGAGAGGUUGAACGGCCACAUUGGGACUGAGACACGGCCCAGACUCCUACGGGAGGCAGCAGUGGGGAAUAUUGCACAAUGGGGGAAACCCUGAUGCAGCGACGCCGCGUGGAGGAAGAAGGUCUUCGGAUUGUAAACUCCUGUUGUUGGGGAAGAUAAUGACGGUACCCAACAAGGAAGUGACGGCUAACUACGUGCCAGCAGCCGCGGUAAAACGUAGGUCACAAGCGUUGUCCGGAAUUACUGGGUGUAAAGGGAGCGCAGGCGGGAAGACAAGUUGGAAGUGAAAUCUAUGGGCUCAACCCAUAAACUGCUUUCAAAACUGUUUUUCUUGAGUAGUGCAGAGGUAGGCGGAAUUCCCGGUGUAGCGGUGGAAUGCGUAGAUAUCGGGAGGAACACCAGUGGCGAAGGCGGCCUACUGGGCACCAACUGACGCUGAGGCUCGAAAGUGUGGGUAGCAAACAGGAUUAGAUACCCUGGUAGUCCACACCGUAAACGAUGAUUACUAGGUGUUGGAGGAUUGACCCCUUCAGUGCCGCAGUUAACACAAUAAGUAAUCCACCUGGGG